GAAAUGCGAUAAGUAAUGUGAAUUGCAGAAUUCAGUGAAUCAUCGAAUCUUUGAACGCACAUUGCGCCCGGCAGUAUUCUGCCGGGCAUGCCUGUCCGAGCGUCAUUUCAACCCUCGGGACCCCGUUUAGGCGGGGACCCGGCGUUGGGGACCGGCAUCCAGCCAGCCCCGAAAUCUAGUGGCGGUCCCUCCGCGACCUCCCCUGUGCAGUAGCGAUACCUCGCAGCGGGACAGCGGUCUGACCACGCCGUAAAACCCCCAACUUCUCAAGGUUGACCUCGAAUCAGGUAGGAAUACCCGCUGAACUUAAGC
RNAcentral lists this unclassified non-coding RNA (312 nucleotides) under plant metagenome. RNAcentral describes it as "partial contains 5.8S ribosomal RNA, internal transcribed spacer 2, and large subunit ribosomal RNA". The stretch from base 1 to 105 matches the Rfam family "5.8S ribosomal RNA", at positions 50 to 154 of the family's 154-position model. The record is from RNAcentral.